CUAAAUUAUCAUACAAUCAGAUUAAGUUGGUGGAACUAAAACAGGGCGCAUUACCUCAAACAGCCAGCAUUUACAAGAACCAAAUUGAUUUUUUUUUCUUACAAAAGUCAGGCAACUUCCAAAUUAAGUCACUUUUUACCAUAUACCCUGGAGAAUAACAUGGCCCGACACACCACACGUCCCACUUAUCUAGUUCAAGCGAGUAACAUAACGUGAGAAACUGCACUGUGUAAUUCCUUUAUUUUCUGCAUAUUAGUGCUUUACCAACACUACAACCAUAAAGAACACAAUUCCAAGUACUGUACUUUUUAGUUUGGGGAGAUCACAGUCUACAGACUCAUUUACUUAUAUUAAACAAGAUUAACCUCAUUCAAAACUUACUGCAGUUUAUAAAUUCACAUAAAUACAGAAAUGGAUGCAAUUAAACAACUUCAGGAUCUUAUUUUUAAAAUUCUUAGAUAAUUUUUUCUGCAGGCUAUAAUUACCUGCUCCAGUCACCAAUGGUUAUUGUUCAAUUUAACUACAUCAAUUAUAAACCUCUUAUAUCCUUAAAGAAAAUUUUAAGUGAAAAUUACAAUUUCUUACCAAAAGGUUUAGGGUUUUCCAAAUUUCAAAUAUUUGCUUCCCCCUCCCCCCUUUCCAGUCAAACAUUUCAAAUAAACUAAAAAUAACCACAUCUCACCUGCAACAUUCAAUAAUAGCAAUCACUUGAUGUAUAAAAUUUUAACUAUGCCCCCAGUUAUUUUAAGACACAAAAAAAUGGCUGCCUACCAAUCUGUCUUCACAAGUUAGAAAUACUACAUUUAAGAUUUAACAUGAGGGUUUCAAGUUUCCUCCAGUUUAGGCAUUUAUACCUUUGUGCUUGUUUUGUUUCAGGAUGUUACUAUAGCAUUGAUAUUGGAUAACCCAUAUUUAUAUACUUUAAAAUGCAAUCAUUUGAAACACUAAAAAUUACAUUUAUGGUGGAGCUUUGGAAAUUUUAGAAAGCAACCAGUGUUCUUAGAUGUGUUUAUCAGCCUCAUUUCUAGAGCUCUUUCUACUAAAGUGAAACUGAGAACUUCGUACUUUAGUUGUAUCCUGAAAUCAAAAAAAUCCCUCUGCACCAACAGGAGCCUACAUGAGAAUACCCUUUUGCAUCUGCUUUAAGUAAAAUGUUUGUUAAGAGUUUUACUUUGAAUAGUUCAUUUUUUUAUAGUCUUACACUUCUCAUACAUCUUUGGUAAAAGCUCCAUAUUACAAUAUUACUCAUUAUUUGCCACUGUGGGCUAAGUUUACUAUACUGGUCUUAGAUAUAAAAGGUCACAUUUGAAAUUACUAAGUUAGAACUCAUAAGGAAGGGGGGGGAAGGCCUUAAAUAUAAAAGACAAACGGCAGUUUGAUUAAGCAAUAAUUUUCAGUUUACUAGAUGAAACAGACUUGCAACAUAGUCUGCAUGAAUGCAAAAUAAG
This 1448-nucleotide long non-coding RNA is filed under the name Homo sapiens (human). Its description in RNAcentral is "HSALNT0210666". Lineage: Eukaryota; Metazoa; Chordata; Mammalia; Primates; Hominidae. The record is from RNAcentral.